Molecule: ribosomal RNA, 602 nt
Filed under: Berlinia bracteosa
Lineage: Eukaryota; Viridiplantae; Streptophyta; Magnoliopsida; Fabales; Fabaceae
Description: eukaryotic LSU rRNA
Rfam family: 5.8S ribosomal RNA (bases 178-333)
Source: RNAcentral
GUCGCCUUGAGCCUCUCGGGCCGAAGACGUGCCAUGGGCUAGCCCCAUCGGUUCUCUUCGCCCAAACAACAAACCCCCGGCGCCGAACGCGCCAAGGAACAUGAUUCUAAGGGCGUUCUCUUGUCGUCCCGGCAACGGUGCACGUGCAAUGAGUGACGCGAAAUUUGUAUCCAAAAUGACUCUCGGCAACGGAUAUCUCGGCUCUCGCAUCGAUGAAGAACGUAGCGAAAUGCGAUACUUGGUGUGAAUUGCAGAAUCCCGUGAACCAUCGAGUCUUUGAACGCAAGUUGCGCCCGAAGCCAUUAGGCCGAGGGCACGUCUGGCUGGGUGUCACGCAACGUCGCCCCAACCCCCACGCCCAUCGCAGGGCGUCGGGGGUCGAGGGCGGAUGAUGGCCUCCCGUGAGCCACGCCUCGCGGAUGGCCGAAAUAAGAGUUUGCGAUGUGGCGAGCACCACGGCGCACGGUAGUUGAGUAAACAACGCUCGAGCCCAGUCGUGCGUGCUCCGCCCCCGUGGCGAGCUCGGAGACCCUAUCGCGUCUCGGGACGCUUCUGAUGCGACCUCAGCUCAGGCGGGGCUACCCGCUGAGUUUAAGCAUAUC